This 12230-nucleotide long non-coding RNA is filed under the name Homo sapiens (human). RNAcentral's name for it is "HSALNT0115956". Lineage: Eukaryota; Metazoa; Chordata; Mammalia; Primates; Hominidae. The record is from RNAcentral.
CUCUGGGUCUCGCUCUGUCACCCAGGCUGAAGUGCAGUGGCAUGACCAUAGUUCUCUGCAGCCUUUAACUCCCAGGCUCAAGCGAUCCUCCCACCUCAGCUUCCUGAAUAACUGGGACUAAAGGUGUGGAAACUUGAGUGAUGUUUGUGUUUGUGUUUUCACUGGAGUUUUGUGGAAGGCCAGAUAAGAUGUCUAUAUUCCAAAUGCUGAGAGAUUGUAUUCUGUAGCUGAAACUCCUAGUUCCAUAUUUGAAUAAUUAUUGAAGCAAAUUUGGAUCCUAUGUGAACAUACAGAGCUAUUUUCAGUCAUUAAUUAACAGAGACUUACUGUGGUCAUGUGGAAAUGGACUCCAUUUUCUUUUCCAAAGAAUUUACCCACCACAGUUUCAUCUGGAAACUGGCCAGCUGGAUGAGUCUCAUGUGGUUAGUGCUUAAUCAGCAGGAAUUAACCAGGGACCUUCACUAGAGUGGACCUACCCCAGUUUGGAGACCACUGGAACACAAUACAAUCUUCAGCAAGUUUCUUCAUCUUUCUGACUCUGUGUUUCUCCUUCUGUAUAAUUCAAACAACCAUCUCUGCCUCACAGGGCCAUUUACAUGAUGAAAUAAGAUGACACAGGAAUAAGACACCUCCUAGCUCGGUGCCUGGCCAACAGCAGGCACUUGCUAACUAUGCUUUUCAUCUAUUUUCUUUCCUAACAGAUGUGGCCUCUGCCCGGAAGUGAACCUUGAGGUGGCUGACCCUUCUUCAUCAAGCAGGGAGCUGUGGUUCAGGGCAGGAGCCCAGGGAGCAGGGGCGAUGCAGGGUGUCACUGAGCUCAGACCUCCUGAGUUUGUGAAGUCCAGGAAGCCCCAAGUUGGCAGCGGCCACAUGGGCAAUUGUCUGAGCAAGGGGAAGAGGUUUCUGGGCCACUGUCAGUACAAACAGGGGCUUCCUCAAAGGCAUCAGCUGCAGGCCGAGGAACGGGAGAGCGGGAUGAGGCAGUGAGGGUCUUUGGAGGAGUUCUGAAAGCUUGUCUGGGGUCCCGCUUCAUCUUUAUUAUUGUUACAAAUUAGUUCCAUGAAUCAGUCAGGUCAUUGAGGUUACUCUGAAAGGAAGCAUUUGAGAAGUGGGAGGAUUUCUUCUUUCAUUGUUGGGUGACUAAUACAACAAUCUUUAUUUAUAUAUUAGUCAUGGGAUUCUGUGAGUAUUUUAGGAAAGAAUAGGGACCUUUCAUUCAACACCCAAAGUCUCUGUUUUUAAACUCUUCAGAAGGCCCUGGGAGGAAAACACCUACCCAGCUAUCUUUUCCACCCAAGUAAGAAAACAAAUGAUGCUGAGAACAGCUUCCACAUAAAAUAGAGAUGCUGAAUUCAUCCUUGGUUUUUAAAGCAUCCACUGAGAAAUUCUCAGAAAAUGGAGCAAAUGGUGUAGUGUUCAUCCACAGACACUGGAAGAAAUAGAAAAGGAACAUUCUUUAGUGAAAUGAAACCCUUUGAGUUCUGGGUGCUUCACAGUAUUUGGGGACUCCCCUUGUGGCGCAAGCUGCAGUAGGAGCUACAGGAAUUCAAGAGACAGCAGGAAAUCGCCAGUCAGGGGAAAACUGGGCAGAGAGGAGGGCAAAGUACCAAAUACACCCUCACCAGGCUGGGCAGACUUUCAAAAGCUGAGUAAUGAUGUGGCAUUGUUGCCUGAGUGCCCAGAUUUUACUCACCCUCAUGUUUGGGUAUACAAAACAUUAUUUGCGGAUCUGGAAGGAGAGAUACCCUCAUGUCAUGGUGAGAGUUAAGUUUAAUCAUUCAGAGAUACAAUAACCCAGUGAUUCCUAAAAACAGAGCUCACAUCAAAUGAGCCCCCUGCUGUAGAAAUCACGAUCUUCUGACUGAAAGAUUUCUUUCUUUUCUUUUUUUUUUUUUUUUUUUUUUUUUUGAGGCAGAGUCUCUCUCUCACCCAGGCUGGAGCGCAGUGGCAUGAUCUCGGCUCACUGCAACCUCCACCUCCCAGGUUCAAGCAAUUCUGCCUCAGCCUCUCGAGUAGCUGGGACUACAGGCAUGUGCUGCCACACCUGGCUAAUUUUUAUAUUUUUAAUAGAGACAAGAUUUAUCCGUGUUGGCCAGGCUGGUCUUGAACUCCUGACCUCAGGUGACCUACUGCCUCAGCCUCCCAAAGUGCUGGGAUUACAGGCGUGAGCCACCACGCCCCACUUAAGAUUUCUUUUUUAAUUGUCAGUUUCUAAUGUAUCAUUACUUCUUCCCCAAAUCACUUAAAUCAGACACUUGAUUUCAACCAAUCAGUAGCUUCUACAGGAAGUGUGGCCUUAAUCCUUUGCUUAUUUUCCAAAAUGUGCCCAUGACACACCCAAUGUGUAAUCAAUACAUAUUGUUGCCUGUGUCUACCAUACCCUGGAGACUGAGCCAAGAACAGAGUGAUAUAAACAAAACAUAAACAUACGACAAGUUAAAUAACAACCCCAAACAAUGAACACUGAAGAUACAACAGAAAAUCUAUGUUUAAUUUGCAAAUAACACUAGAGAAGAUGAAACACCAAGUUCCAUGCAGAGAACCAGCUCUGUGGUCCACAGUGGGCUGGAAGUCUUAGGGGAGAGAUAGAUGAGUCUUGACAUAAACCUUAAAAUAUAAGUAGAAGUUAAAAAAACAUGAGAGGCCAAAAGAAGACAUUCCAGGGCAGAAAAAAUAUAUAUAUAUGUGUGUGUGUGUGUGUGUUUGUGUGUGUGAGUAAAGGCUAGAAGUCUGAACAAUGUUGGUAAAGUUUCUUAAAGGGAAGCUUUAUCGCCUGAGACCAGGACCAACCAGCAGAGAAAGCAGUAAGUAGAAGAGCUAAUCUGAUCUCUACCUCUUUAAUGAAAAUGCAGAGCCCCAGUUGGGGGCACAAGGGGAAUCUCUGCUUCCCAUGGGCCCUCAGCCCCAAACCUUGGGGAGUGGGUGGUCCCAAGGGAUUGCAAUCUUGGCUCUUGGAAGUGCCCAGUACCUAGACCAGGAGCAGGUGAGAGGCCCCAAAGUCGCUCACCAUCCCAGGGCAGGCCAAGGCACUUAGGGCCCAUGCUGCACCCGACUCCUCUGCACACAGGGGUAGAGAGUGACAGGAGGCCAUGGACCUCCCCACCAACACCCCUAGGCAGAGAAAGACAGGGCUCUGGAGCAGAGUGCAAAGGGAAGCUGCGCAGGGCCAGGUACCCCAGGAGGCUGGGUGCAUGCGACUGCGAGCAAGUCCCAGAGAGGCAGUGGGAAUACCUGGUGCACCCCUCCCAUCGGACUUCACUUACAAAAUGCAAAUUCCAGCCAGGCACAGUGGCUCACGCUUGUAAUCCCAGCAAUUUCAGCGGCCGUGACAGGCAGAUCAUUUGAGGUCAGGAGUUUGAGACCAGUUUGGCCAAUAUGGUGAAACCCCAUCUCUACUAAAAAUACAAAAAUUAGCUGGGUGUAGUGGCGCAUGCCUGUAAUCCCAGCUCCUCAGGAGGUUGAGGCAGGAAAAUUGCUUGAACCUGGGAGGCAGAGGUUGCAGUGAGCCGAGAUCACACCACUUCACUCUAGCCUGGGUGACAGAGGGAGACUCCGUCUCAAAAAUAUAAAUAAAUAAAACGCAAAUUCCAAUAAGAUUAAGAAUCUCAGGAUGACAAACACAAAGCCUUAAGCCCCAAGCACAAAGCCCUUUCUGAUCUUGCAGCCCUGAGUGACUGCACGGGUCUCCAUUCAUGAGGGACCUGCCGGUGUUCCACGCAGGCUGCCCUCCCUGCCCCAGGAACUCCAUCUACUCCCCACCCAACUUUAGAUUAUGACCACUUUCUAAACAAGUCUGAAAAGCUGCUCUGCUAAUGGUUUACCAGCACCACCGGUGGCGCAUAUGCUGUGCUCACCACGGGAGUCAGUCCCUGGUGGAUCUGGAUCUGGGAGCGAAGGUGGCCCUGUGCCUUCCCUGGAAAGAAUGAAGAACCCGCCGGGAAGGUGCCCUUUCCCAGUGAGCUCGUGCUCACUCUGCAGCGAUGCAGAGCCCAGAGAGGAGGACCUAGGGCUCACGGCAGCAUCUUACGAGUCAAGGCCUCAGAUGUCAGCGAAGGCUCAGGCAGUUUAUUCUUGCACAAACCACAGUCAGCCUUGGAGACAUGGAGAAAGAGUCAGGUGACCCUGAAAGGAGCUGGAGUUUCAACAGUUCACUUGUCUUUACCACAGUCAGAAAAAUACCUUUUAUGGUGAAAACAAUUAACUUAUUCUCACUUCUUUGGUUCAUGUGUCCAAAGUUUCUGGAAUUCUUUUAGCUAACCCAUUUGCCAUUUAAUAAGGGCCUUCUAGAGACAAAAGCUUCCAAACACAAAGAGGUGACCAUUUGCAAGAACUUGAGGCAUUGUUGCAUGUUGGUAAAAAGGAUCUUUUUAAAAACAAGCCUUUAGGCUGGGCUCAGUGGCUCAUGCCUGUAAUCCCAGCCCGGGAGGCUGAGGCCAGCAGAUCACUUGAGGCCAGGAGUUUGAGACCAGCCUGACCAACACGGUGAAACUCCAUCUCUACUAAAAACACAAAAAUUAGCCAGGCAUGGUGGUGAGCACCUGUAAUCCCAGCUACUUGAGAGGCUGAGGCAGGAGAAUUGCUUGGACCCCGGAGGCAGAUGUUGCAGUAAGCCGAGAUCGUACCACUGCACUCCAGCCUGGGCAACAAAGUGAGACUCCAUCUCAAAAUAAAAUAAAAUAAAAUGAAAAUAAGCCUUUAUAUUGCAUCAAAGGAUAGCAGAAUAGCCCUCCUAUCCCAGGAACAUGGAUGCUGUUCAAGUCUCUGUAUGACACAAGAGACCCUUCACUGCCCGAGUGCAAUUUCUCUCUGCCUCAUAGACAAGGGGAACAAACUCCGGCAGAGCCAAGCAAGGGUGUGAGGGGCCAGGUGUAUUUCCAUGGCACAUUGUUGGCAGCCACGCAAACAGGUUCUGGUUAUUUAUUCCUCAUCAUUCCAGAGGCAGCAGGGACAGUGACUCCCAUAGCCUGGCAUAUCACAUCUUGUCACUCUGUCAGGGAAGACUGUCUACAUAAGAAAUGAAGGACAGAAUCAAAUCCUUUUCAUAAAUCACCAACUGACUCAAUUUGCAAAACCCAAAAUAGUAAUAAAGUUACACAAAGUCACAGUGUAUGUAACUUUAAGCAUUUUCCCAUUUUUGCACCUCUUCUUUUUUUAGCCAACCAGGAUCAAAGGCCAAAUAUCCUAUCUGGAAUAAGAAAUCCUUAAGAAAAAUGAGUAUGGGUCUUUUUGGGGUGCAUCUAUUAUAUCCUUCCAUAUUUCAUAUCUUCCCAGAGAAAUAGUGUUUGUUUUUAUUCCCCAUACCUGAGAGAAUUCUAGAAUCUCAGUCUAUUUCAGUUGUCCAGAGAGGAGAAUCGAAGGCCCAAUAGCUUCCUAAGAAUGGGUCCGGGCUUAAACACAAACAAGGCUCAGCUCUCAUGAACUUUAUCACAGAGCAGGAGGGGGGCAAAUAAUAAACUAGGAUUUUUUAGUUUAUUUAUCUGAUAGGAUUACCAGAUCAAGGUAAGUGCUCUGGAGGAAACAGGGUAAUAUGCGGGGAUGGGGAGUGACUCCAGCUGAUUCCUUUGGGACCACAGGAACAGUGAGUACAAAGACCCCAAGGCAGCCAGUCACAUCAUCCUUAUUCAAUGGGCCACUGAUGCUGACGAUAAGGAGCAAAGCUGAGAAAAGUAUGGGAUGAGAUCAGAGAUAGCCAGGACAGGUACGUGAGGCCUUGUUGGUGCUGGUGAAGAGUCUGGUUUUUAUCAUAAGUUCAGAGAAAAAUUGACAGAGGUUUUGGUGCAGGAGGAGGAACACCCUCUGCAUUAGGUUUGAAAAGGUCCCUCUGGCUACUGUGUGAAAAAGUGGUUGUAGGGCCUGUGUUUUUUGCUAGAGCUGCUGUACCAAAGUACCACUACCUGAGUGGGUUGAAACAACAGAUACUUAUUUUCUCACUGUUCUGGAGGCUUGGACUUCAAAAUCAAGGUGUUAGCAAGACCAUGCUCCCUCUGAAUCCUCUAGGGGACAAUCCUUCCUUUCCUCUUCCUAGCUUCUAUUAGUCCCAGGCAGUCCCUGGCCUGUGACAGCAUCACUCCGAUCUGCCCCAUCGUCAUGCGGCCAUCUUUCCUGUGUAACUCUGUCCCUUCUCCUCUUGCUGUAAAGACACCAGUCUGAUCGGAUUUGGCCCCACCCUCAUAACUUUGUUUCACCUUGAUUAUAUCUGCAAAGGUCUGAUUUCUAUAAAUAAGAUUACAUUCAAAAAUCACCUGAGAGUUAGGACUUAAAGAUAGCCUUUGGGGGACAUCAUUCAACCAAUAACAGGGCCAGAGGAGCAGAGGCAGGGGCUUUUAGGAGGGAAGGAAGAGGUGAGAUUCUAAACACAUUAAAUCUUGACUAUGUUUCAUAACUCUACCCACAAGACUUGUGGAGGGUGAAGGAAAGAGGACAAUUGAGAGUGACUUCUAGAAUUUCAGAUAAUGCAACUGGGAAGAUGGUGAUGCCACUUACGGAGAUGGGAGAGUAGGGGGUAGGUCAGGCUUAGAGGGCAAAUCAACAGCUCUAUUUGGGACAUGUUAAAUUUGAGAUCCCUUCUAAACACCCAAACAGAACUAUGAAGAAUAUGCUUGGGAGUAAUGUCUAGACCUCAGGUGAGGGUCUGGACUGAAAAUGUAAAUUUGGAAAUUAGUAACAUGCAGAUCUUCAUUUUGAUUUGAAUUCCAUCAUGAGACCGUUGAGAUUUUGAAUAAGGCAAUAAUAUUAAAACAAAUGAUAAAAACUAUUUUCAUCAUCUCAUAUGUUUCCCAAGAAAGUCAUUACUUUAAACUUCCAAGCGAAAAGAGAAUAUCAUGAGGCCAGAAUAUUUUUUAAGGUGAGUAGAUGCCUUGGUUUAUGUUGUGUAUUUGAAAAAGUGAUUGAACCCUGUGUUGCUGGCUUUGUUACUCAAGAACUUCUGAACUCCUGGAUUUGGUUAUCUGUCAAGGAUAGGUAUAUCUUGUCUGGCACCAAUUUUUUUCAUGUUUUGAACAAAUAUUUAUAAAUCUAAAAUAAGCUGUAAUAAAGAGUCUGGCUCCGUGGAUUGGUGGGGCUUUUAAGCCUCACCCAUCCCUCUCCAGCUCCCACAUCUGAGCAGGCUGAUAGGAAGCCUGGGUGUUCCCUCUUUGGCACCAGCAGGACACGCAAGUCGUGCAAGCCCCUUCCCAUGCACUGGAACCCUCACCCCAGCCCCACCCAUGGCCAUAAUAAAAACCUCAAGCCAGUCUCCUUUCCCUGCUUUCACAAGACAUUUUCAGACCAACCUGGGAAGCUUUCCUUGCUCUCCCCAAAAGCCUGAUAGUGUGUGUAAUAAACCUUUUUACAGUAUCUUUGUAUGUGUGUGGCAUCAUCAGUCUCAACAUCCAAAUUUUGGGUGCAAGUCUAUCCUGCUUCUUCAAAGCUAACCUCCCAGAAAUCAGGGAUGAAGCACUGUCUAGGAAAGAAAAGACAUGCUUAGCAUUACUAUAUAAAAGAAAAAAGCAGCUUAGGGCCUGAUGAAACAGCUGGAUCCAUGAGAGAGGAAUCUCAUGAGCCUGGGGUCACUCAGUAAGACCCCCACCUCCUUAGCCUGGCUUUUCCAUGACGCAGUAAGACCCUCCCAGCUAGCCACCGCUACAAAAGCCAUCGGAGGGAGCCAUUCUCCACGGAGCAGCAGCAGCAAAGCAUGGGUGGAAAGAGGACUGGGGGCUGGCUGGCCUUCCUUGGGGAAUUCUUUUCCAAUACAAAUCAAAAUCUACUUUGCAAGCGAAGUGUUCGUAAAUUGUAGAAAUUCACCUCAUGGUAUAGGGGCCAGAGGAUGAGUAGGGGAGAAAAAGAGAUGAAGAAAGGAUUAUGAAGCCUUGGCCAGAGUGAGAGGGCCAAAAUGACACCCUCUAGCUGGUCAGAAUAAGACAAAGGAUCGAAUUACCUGGAAAGCAUAUGCGUCUGUGGAGUGAAUAUUCUUUCCUCUAAACCACUCAGAGUUUUCAGGGGAAGUCCUCGGAGAAUCAGUAACCUCUAAACAUAUUACAUCUUGACUAUGCACCUGUUUCGUACUUGUUAGCAGGAAAUGUGCACUAAAUUACAGGAACGCACAGCCAGGAAAGAGGGGUCGUGGUCUGGGUGCAAGUGGCAGAUGUAAGGGCAACGUGGACAAAACCCAUGGAGGUCGCAAAAGACACAAGAAAACACACCCUUUGGUCUGGUUCAGAAGGAAGCAGGAAGGAACACACGGGGACCUUUGGGUGCUAUAGAAAGAGGAUGAGAGAGCUGGGACUGCACCCUAACAGACGGGAAACUCAUUGAACAACUCUCUUCCUUGAUUUCUCUUCUAUAAAAUAAUGAGGUUAAAUUGGAUGAUCUCUAAAGUCUGAAAUCACUACCUUUCCAUAAUUCAUGGUCCCUAAAUCAAAAGCAUCAGGCUUAACAAUCCGAAAGGAGGCCGGGAGGGAAUAUGACCAGAUUCAGUUCCCUUCCAGCAGAUCUUUAUUAUUAUUUUUUUCUUUAAUCUGUGAGUCCAUCUGAACAAGAUGCCAACCUUCAUACCCCAGAAGUAAAGUAAGAUCCCCCACUGAGUCCCGGGGUCCCUGGGAAUCCACUGCCCUCCCUGGGGCUGGAGCGCUGGGUGCCAGUCUCCACUCUCCACCACACUCCUCUUUUGACCCCACCGCCAGUCACGAGGCCGCUGGGAAAUAACUCAAUCCCUUCAGCUCCUGGCGAUAACUUAUACAGGGUUUCUCCACGGGAACUGCCAAAAACAUCUAAGCUCCUUCCCGCAGUUGGGAAUCGCUGCCCUGCAAAUGAAAAAGGAGACUAAACAAGAGCAGGGAGGCGGUGCAGGCCCCCGACAGCGCAGAAGCCGCUGGACCUGCAGCUGACUGAAGCCCACAAAAUGCGCACCAGGAAAAGGCUGGUUUCCGCUCCGUUUUUAAAGCAUGAGAGAAGCUACUGAGAACUGAAAAGUAAAGUCAGAAUGCUUUGAAGGAUAUAUAUGCUAAUGUUUUUACAUUAUGCUUUUGGCCAGCAAGCCACCAGAACAUCUGUUUCUAGCUAGGAGACUGCUCUCGGGAAACACUUUGGCAAAUGUUCCCCUCCCACCUCGCAGCCCCACCCUUAGGCCAACCCCUCCUCACCGCCCGCUCCACGUAAAAAGCAAGAACAAGGGGCACGAAGUCCAGGAGGUCUGUGGUCCUGGCUGCUGGAGCCCGCGCCUGGCUCUCGGUGCUCAGCGCUGAGUUUCCAUGAGGCUCCCCAGGUGAGGACCUGCCAGAGCACAGCAACGCGGCAUGGGCAGGCACCUCCAGGCCUGGCUGGCAGCGCCCUGGGAGUGGUCCCCUGGUACCUCUGCGGCGGAAAGAGGGUAACAACAGGCUUCCUAUCUGAGGCUAACCCCUAGGUCGACGUACCAGGUCUCCAGCUGUUAUUCUGACUGCCUCCAUCUCCAGCUGCGGUGUGAUUGCUGGAGCCCCCGUCCUUCACCGUCGGCCCUGGAAACUUCCCAGUGAAAGAUACAAGAAACAGGGAGAGGUGGCCGGCUUAGUCCGAUUUGUGCUGCUCUAACAGAAUACCUGAAACUGGGUAAUUUAUAAAGGAACAGAUAUUUAUUUCUUACAGUUCUGGAGACUGGGAAGUCCAAGAUCAAGGGCCUGCAUCUGGUAAGGGCCUCCUUGUGGUGUUAUCCCAUGGACGAAGGUAGAAGAGCAAGAGAGGAAGGAGGCCGAAUUUAUCCUCAUGUCAGGAUCCCAUCCUCAAUAACGAACCCACUCCCUCAGGAACAGCAUUCAUCCACUCACUAGAGCAGAGCCCUCAUCUCCUAAUCACCUCUCUUAAAAGUCCUGCCUCUCAACACAAUUGUGUUGGGGAUUGAGCUUCCAACACAUGAACUUUGGGGACACGUUCAAACCAUGGCAAUGGCUGUCCUCAUGUUGAAUAUUAACUGAGAUAAAGUCUAUCUACUAGACUUGAAGACCCUGCAGGAAUUACCACUAAUUCAUAUGUCUAAACUGCAAUAAAUUAUAGCAGGAAAUAAAAUGGAAUUUCCAGGAGCUAAACGAGAAGAUCUUAUGAACACAAAGAAGAAAGCAACAGACAUUGGGGUCUGCUUGCAUGGGGAGGGUGAGGGAGGAGAGGAGAAGAAAAGGUAACUAUUGGGUACUGGGCUUAGUACCUGGGUGAUGAAAUAAUGUGUACAGCAACCCCCCGGGACACGUGUUUACCUAUGGAACAAACUUUCACAUGCGCCCCCAAACCUAAAAUAAACAUUAAACAAAUAAAAAUAGAAAUAGGAUGGAAUUCUGCUUUGCCUCCUUAACAUUAUGAGUUUUUUCAUAAUCUUCUAUUUUGUGUGUCUGAUAUUUGAAUCUUUGAAAUGUUUGAUCAUUUCAAACACCAGCUCUAUCUUCUCCCUCAUCAUGGGUAUCAUGUUAUGGAAUUCACUUCUCCCUUCUUCUCUGCACACUUAAAGGUCUUCACAAAAAUGUUUAAAUCUCUUUACCCCCUUUUGUCUAUGAAGUUCUUUAUCCCAUAGAAGGGGUGACAGGCUAGGAGGCUGAAGGACAUCAUGCAUUCUGACAGAGAAAUAACACUUUCACUACAAACUGAAAAAUGUACCCUCUUGAGUCAGUAUUUCCCUCGUGCUAUUUACACAGUCCUAUGAAAUAAGGAAACGUGGAAAGAUCACUCUACCUUGAGGGCCCAGAAGAGUGAGCGAUGGCCCUCUGGCUUCAGGGGAGCCCAUGGUUAGCAGGCCACUUAACAGGAGAAGCCCUUCCUGGUUUAAAACUUCAUCUGUUUCAUGUUAUCCUCAUUUCUUUCCAGACCAUUCUUCACCCUCCUUGCCUUCUCCCUACUGGCAUCUCAGGCCUGACGUCACGGCUGUGUGUGAGGUGUAAAUGUGUGUAGUGUGAAUGUGUGUGUGGCGUGAAUAUAUAUGUGGUGGAUGUGUGGUGUGUGGUGUGUAUAGUAUGUAUGUGUAUGUGGUGUGUGGUGUGAACGUGUGUGCAGUGUGUGUGUGUGGUGUGAAUGUAUAUGUGGUGCAUAUGUGGUGUGUAUAGUAUGUAUGUGUAUGUGGUGUGUGGUGUGAACGUGUGUGUGGUGUGUGUGUGUGGAUGAUAGGGGUGGUGUGUACAUGGUGUGGUGUGUGUGUGUUUGUGGGUGGGUGUGUGUGUGUGUAGGGGGAUGUUCCUCUGGUUCUCACAGCCGCCAUGUCAAUGUCUUGUUGACGCAAACCUCUGUCUUGGAAGUCAGCUUCUGUCUCCACUGCCAGGUUUCUUGGAGCUUUUAAUAUGCCAGUGUGCAUCAUGGAAUGUAGUACUUGACACAGGUGCUUAUUGGCAGGCAGGGGCCCUGCUGGUCCCAGCCAUCAAGUUAUCUCUUCUUCUUUAAUGUGAUGAAUACACCUCUUUUGGAAGCCCUAUGUUGCCCUCAGAAUCACCAAGGAGCAUGCAGUUAGUGAGCAAAAAUUAAAUACCAGCCUCUGGCAAACCUAAAUCCAAAUAUGUCCCCAUUACUAAGUACAGUAUAGUAGCCCUAUAGGCAAUGGAUGGGACUAACUGCAUAUAAAUGACCAGCUUUGUCACCCAGGUUAGAGUGCAAUGGCAUGAUCUUGGCUCACUGCAACCUUUGCCUCCUGGGUUCGAGCAAUUCUCUUGUCUCAGCCUCCUGAGUAGCUGGGAUUAUAGGCAUGCACCACCAUGCUUGGCUAAUUUUGUACUUUUAGUAGAGACGGGGUUUCACCAUGUUGAUCAGGCUGGUCUAGAAUUCCUGACCUCAGGUGAUCCACCUGCCUCAGCCUCCCAAAGUGCUUUCUAUCAGAGCAUUUUGGAACUUAAAAGUUGUCCUCACUGUUGAGUUGUAAAGAUACUUGUCUCAAUGGAUUAGCAUCCUACGUGUUCUGCCCUGAAAUGUAACCUUAGAUAGAAAUCUAAGCUUGAACACCCAUUGCUCUGCAAGUCCAGGACAAGAGUCUAUUGCCAAAACCCUAGCUGAGUUUUCCAGAAAGAGCCCAUCUGAAGACUAGGGAUGUUCUAUCUUCCUCUAAUUGCCUCCUAACCUCUUCCCCAUUCCACCCUACCAGAUCAUUCCAUAAUGGAGGAGAUGAAUGCUUUUAUAAUCCAUUAGAGGAAACCCAUAGAGGCCUCACCCAAAGCAGAUCUGCAGUGAGCAUUUGUGUCUAAUAAAGAUGCUGAAAACUGCCAACUCACCCUCAUCAGAACCAGCAGACACUCACCACACACAAAGCAACA